Molecule: ribosomal RNA, 253 nt
Filed under: uncultured bacterium
Lineage: Bacteria
Description: partial 16S ribosomal RNA
Rfam family: Bacterial small subunit ribosomal RNA
Source: RNAcentral
UACGUAGGGUGCGAGCGUUGUCCGGAAUUAUUGGGCGUAAAGGGCUCGUAGGCGGUUUGUCACGUCGGGAGUGAAAACUCGGGGCUUAACUCCGAGCCUGCUUCCGAUACGGGCUGACUAGAGGUAUGCAGGGGAGAACGGAAUUCCUGGUGUAGCGGUGAAAUGCGCAGAUAUCAGGAGGAACACCGGUGGCGAAGGCGGUUCUCUGGGCAUUACCUGACGCUGAGGAGCGAAAGCGUGGGGAGCGAACAGG